AUGACAAGUAACAUCUUCCUCAGUCAGCCUAUCCUUUUAGAACUUGAAGCACCACUCAAGAUAUGUGGUGACAUCCACAGGCAGUACUAUGAUUUGCUCCGUCUGUUUGAAAAUGGUGGCUUCCCUCCAGAGAGCAACUAUUUGUUUCUCGGCGACUAUGUGGACAGGGGCAAACAGUCACUAGAGACGAUCUGCCUCUUGCUGGCCUACAAAAUCAAGUAUCCGGAGAACUUUUUUCUUCUCAGAGGGAACCAUGAGUGUGCCAGCAUCAAUAGAAUCUAUGGAUUUUAUGAUGAAUGCAAAAGAAGAUACAACAUUAAGCUGUGGAAAACGUUCACAGACUGUUUUAACUGCUUAUCGAUAGCAGCCAUCGUGGACGAGAAGAUAUUCUGCUGUCAUGGAGGUUUUUCACCAGAUCUUCAAUGUAUGGAGCAGAUUCGGCAAAUUAUGAGACCAAGUGAUGUACCAGAUCAAGGUCUUCUUUGUGAUCUUUUGUGGUCUGACCCCGAUAAGGAUGUCUUAGGCUGGGAUGAAAAUGACAGAGGAGUGUCCUUCACAUUUGAUGCAGAAGUGGUUGCAAAAUUUCUCCAUAAGCAUGAUUUGGAUCUUAUAUGUAGAGCCCAUCAGGUGGUUGAAGAUGGGUAUGAGUUUUUUGCAAAGAGGCAGUUAGUCACUCUGUUUUCUGCACCCAACUACUGUGGUGAGUUUGACAAUGCAGGUGCCAUGAUGAGUGUGGAUGAGACACUCAUGUGUUCCUUCCAGAUUUUAAAGCCUGCAGAGAAAAAGAAGCCCAAUGCCACAAGACCUGUCACACCGCCACGGGUUGGAUCAGGCCUGAACACGUCCAUUUAGAAAGCUUCAAAUUAUAGAAACAACACUGUCCUAUGCGAGUGACCGAUAAUGCUUUCUUUGGCUACAUUCUUUAUUCUGCGGUGACAUUGAGGCUUAUAAAUCAAAAGGAGCUAACUUGCCAUCCUCCGGUUUAUACAGAACUCACAGUAUCUAUGACUUUUUUAAACUAUGACCUGUUAAAAUGAAUCUGUUUCCACAGAUGCCCUGUACAAUGCCAUGUGCUGAGAAUGAUUUCAGACUUAUUAAAUGCGAGCUUGUUAAAAAAAAAAA
RNA transcript from Mastomys coucha (southern multimammate mouse), 1122 nucleotides. It is a transcript of the gene named serine/threonine-protein phosphatase PP1-gamma catalytic subunit pseudogene, with no coding region annotated. The transcript is spliced from 3 exons. Lineage: Eukaryota; Metazoa; Chordata; Mammalia; Rodentia; Muridae. The record is from RefSeq and is a predicted model, not a curated record.